GAUGAACGCUGGCGGCGUGCCUAAUACAUGCAAGUCGAGCGAAUGGAUUAAGAGCUUGCUCUUAUGAAGUUAGCGGCGGACGGGUGAGUAACACGUGGGUAACCUGCCCAUAAGACUGGGAUAACUCCGGGAAACCGGGGCUAAUACCGGAUAACAUUUUGAACCGCACGGUUUGAAAUUGAAAGGCGGCUUCGGCUGUCACUUAUGGAUGGACCCGCGUCGCAUUAGCUAGUUGGUGAGGUAACGGCUCACCAAGGCAACGAUGCGUAGCCGAGCUGAGAGGGUGAUCGGCCACACUGGGACUGAGACACGGCCCAGACUCCUACGGGAGGCAGCAGUAGGGAAUCUUCCGCAAUGGACGAAAGUUUGACGGAGCAACGCCGCGUGAGUGAUGAAGGCUUUCGGGUCGUAAAACUCUGUUGUUAGGGAAGAACAAGUGCUAGUUGAAUAAGCUGACACCUUGACGGUACCUAACCAGAAAGCCACGGCUAACUACGUGCCAGCCGCCGCCGUAA
Molecule: ribosomal RNA, 515 nt
Filed under: uncultured bacterium
Lineage: Bacteria
Description: partial 16S ribosomal RNA
Rfam family: Bacterial small subunit ribosomal RNA
Source: RNAcentral